Molecule: ribosomal RNA, 519 nt
Filed under: Triticum aestivum (bread wheat)
Lineage: Eukaryota; Viridiplantae; Streptophyta; Magnoliopsida; Poales; Poaceae
Description: partial small subunit ribosomal RNA
Source: RNAcentral
AUGGCAUCUCAGGAUUCCAAGCCCGCGCAAGUCCCGGCCGCCGCCGAGCUGACGGCCCCGGCGGCUGCCGCCGCAGGGGAGGCGCCGAAUCCCACUUCCCCGACAGCGGCCCAAAACCCUAGCGCCGCCGCCGCCGGUGGGGCAGCCACGGAUCUAGAGAAGAAGAUGCGCCGCGCGGAGAGGUUUGGGACGCAGGUGGUUAUGUCCGAGGACGAGAAGCGAAGCAGCCGCGCCGAGAGGUUUGGGACUGGAUCUUCUAAUGAAAAGAUGGAGGAACAGAAGAAGAAGUCCAGGGCUGAGAGGUUUGGCCUUCCCACGCCCUCCUCUGAUGAUACCGAGGCUAAGAAAAAAGCCCGCUUAGAGCGAUUUGGUCAGAGCACAGAAGUUGGCAAGGCGGAAGAAGAGAAGCGAAAGGCACGGGCCCUUAGGUUUGCCGGAGCAGCACCUAGUGGGUCAUCUGAAGGAAAGGACAAAGACACCUCCAAGCCGGACGCGGCUACCGUAGCUGGCACGGCAUGA